RNAcentral lists this ribosomal RNA (496 nucleotides) under uncultured bacterium. RNAcentral describes it as "partial 16S ribosomal RNA". It matches the Rfam family "Bacterial small subunit ribosomal RNA", at positions 29 to 507 of the family's 1533-position model. The record is from RNAcentral.
AUGAACGCUGGCGGCGUGCCUAAUACCUGCCAGUCGAGCGAACAGACGAGGAGCUUGCUCCUCUGACGUUAGCGGCGGACGGGUGAGUAACACGUGGAUAACCUACCUAUAAGACUGGGAUAACUUCGGGAAACCGGAGCUAAUACCGGAUAAUAUAUUGAACCGCAUGGUUCAAUAGUGAAAGACGGUUUUGCUGUCACUUAUAGAUGGAUCCGCGCCGCAUUAGCUAGUUGGUAAGGUAACGGCUUACCAAGGCAACGAUGCGUAGCCGACCUGAGAGGGUGAUCGGCCACACUAGAACUGAGACACGGUCCAGACUCCUACGGGAGGCAGCAGUAGGGAAUCUUCCGCAAUGGGCGAAAGCCUGACGGAGCAACGCCGCGUGAGUGAUGAAGGUCUUCGGACCGUAAAACUCUGUUAUUAGGGAAGAACAAAUGUGUAAGUAACUAUGCACGUCUUGACGGUACCUAAUCAGAAAGCCACGGCUAACUACGUG